AUACGUAGGGUGCAAGCGUUAAUCGGAAUUACUGGGCGUAAAGCGUGCGCAGGCGGUUUUGUAAGACAGUGGUGAAAUCCCCGGGCUCAACCUGGGAACUGCCAUUGUGACUGCAAGGCUGGAGUGCGGCAGCGGGGGGUGGAAUUCCGCGGGUAGCAGUGAAAUGCGUAGAUAUGCGGAGGAACACCGGUGGCGAAGGCAAUCCCCGGGGCCUGCGCUGACGCUCAUGCACGAAAGCGUGGGGAGCAAACAGGAUUAGAUACCCUGGUAGUCCACGCCCUAAACGAUGUCAACUGGUUGUUGGGGAUUUAUUUUCUCAGUAACGAAGCUAACGCGUGAAGUUGACCGCCUGGGGAGUACGGCCGCAAGGUUAAAACUCAAAUGAAUUGACGGGG
RNAcentral lists this ribosomal RNA (395 nucleotides) under uncultured bacterium. RNAcentral describes it as "partial 16S ribosomal RNA". It matches the Rfam family "Bacterial small subunit ribosomal RNA", at positions 523 to 918 of the family's 1533-position model. The record is from RNAcentral.